GACGAACGCUGGCGGCGUGCCUAAUACAUGCAAGUCGAACGAGAGCGCCCGGUGCUUGCACUGGUCAAUCUAGUGGCGAACGGGUGAGUAACACGUGGGUAACCUGCCCAUCAGAGGGGGAUAACAUCCGGAAACGGAUGCUAAAACCGCAUAGGUCUUCGAACCGCAUGGUUUGAAGAGGAAAAGAGGCGCAAGCUUCUGCUGAUGGAUGGACCCGCGGUGCAUUAGCUAGUUGGUGAGGUAACGACUCACCAAGGCCGUGAUGCAUAGCCGACCUGAGAGGGUGAUCGGCCACAUUGGGACUGAGACACGGCCCAAACUCCUACGGGAGGCAGCAGUAGGGAAUCUUCCGCAAUGGACGCAAGUCUGACGGAGCAACGCCGCGUGAGUGAAGAAGGUUUUCGGAUCGUAAAACUCUGUUGUUAGAGAAGAACAAGUGCUAGAGUAACUGUUAGCGCCUUGACGGUAUCUAACCAGAAAGCCACGGCUAACUACGUG
RNAcentral lists this ribosomal RNA (498 nucleotides) under uncultured bacterium. Its description in RNAcentral is "partial 16S ribosomal RNA". It matches the Rfam family "Bacterial small subunit ribosomal RNA", at positions 28 to 507 of the family's 1533-position model. The record is from RNAcentral.